CCUACGGGUGGCAGCAGUGAGGAAUAUUGGUCAAUGGGCGGGAGCCUGAACCAGCCAAGUCGCGUGAGGGAAGACGGUCCUAUGGAUUGUAAACCUCGUUAGGCGGGGAGCAAGGCAGGGCACGUGUGCCCGGAGGGAGAGGACCCGCAGAAGAAGCAUCGGCUAACUCCGUGCCAGCAGCCGCGGUAAUACGGAGGAUGCGAGCGUUAGCCGGAUUUAGUGGGUUGACAGGGUGCGUAGGCGGCAUGGUAAGCCAGAGGUGAAAGCCUUGGGCUUAACCCGAGGCUUGCAUUUGGAACUCUCACGCUAGAGUACAGGAGAGGCAAGCGGACUUCCUAGUGUAGCGG
Molecule: ribosomal RNA, 347 nt
Filed under: uncultured bacterium
Lineage: Bacteria
Description: partial 16S ribosomal RNA
Rfam family: Bacterial small subunit ribosomal RNA
Source: RNAcentral